This is a long non-coding RNA of Triticum aestivum (bread wheat), 940 nucleotides long. RefSeq lists it as uncharacterized. NCBI's taxonomy places the organism in Eukaryota, Viridiplantae, Streptophyta, Magnoliopsida, Poales, Poaceae. The record is from RefSeq and is a predicted model, not a curated record. The transcript has 2 exons.
AACAAUAAAUCUGAUUCUUUAUGCUAAGAAAAGUUCCUUAUCCGUCUGGUUGAGUUGUAUGCAGUGUCGUGUUCUCCUACAAACAAAGGCCGGGCAUGUGAUGAUUCUUGUUUUGUUUGCAGUGUACGUGUAAUCCAGGACCAAGAUAUGACAACCUUCCAUGAUGUUCCGUGCAACAUUUCAUUCACCCUUUUCUGCUCAAGGUAGAUAAGCAUCACUUUAUCUGAUGAUGUGUAGGCACGUAAUACUCUAAAUAAAGUCAAAUGGGAUAUCUUCGUUCAAGCAACCACCAUCCAUGUGAAGUUAGCAAGGAGUACACCGUUAGCUUACUUUGUGUGCAGAACUACACAAAAAAAAAGAGUCGAGCCUGAUUGCCUAUAAAUACACAUUAAGGUGAGGACAUGACAGUUCAACAUCUCACAGUCACACAGGCGAUUUAAUCUGCCUCAUAGGAAGCAAGCAUCACAAAGAUGAGUUCUGUGGUGAAGAAGCCGGAGGGAGGGAACACCGAUACUGGUGACCAUCACAAUAAGAAGACGGAGUGGCCAGAGUUGUUGGGGAAGUCGGUGGAGGAUGCCAAGAAGGUGAUUUUGCAGGACAAGUCAGAGGCACAGAUCGUAGUUCUACCGGUGGGUACAAUUGUGACCAUGGAAUAUCGAAUCGACCGUGUCCGCCUCUUUGUUGACAGUCUCGACAAAAUUGCCCAGGUCCCCAGGGUCGGCUAACAAGCUUAAGAUCUAGCCUGCUCCUGGCGUAUAUGUAUUGUAGCUUGAUAAUCUCUUCUUGGAUAUAGCAAGAUUGAGAUAUAUAGAUCAUAUACAAUAAGCGUUGAUGCAUGGUAAGUGAAUGGAUAAUAGAAUAAGUCAGAGAGCGCGUAAUAUGGUUAUGGUUUGUAUGUAAGCGUGCUUGGUUUCAUAUAUCUGUUUACAUAUGGAUACCA